CAGGCAGGCGCGCGCACGGAGCUUCGCGCACAGCCCCGCGCGCGCCCUCCCCUCUGCUUUGCUCCGCUCCGCUCCCCCCGCCGCCGCCGGGCGCGCGCACAGCCGGGGCCGCCCGGGGGGGCUCUAGAGCCCGGCGGGCCGCGAGCGCCGCAGGGGCAGCGCCGGCCCGUCCUCCCUCAGCACUACGGACACCACGGCGGCGGCGGCUGCCCGGCUCCGGGCUGUAGCUGUUGUUGCCAUGAUGAUGAUGUCACGGACGCAACCAUUGGGGGGAGUGGGGGGAGGACGGGCCAUGGUUUGGGGGGAAGCGAGGGAGAGAGGUGUCUUAUUCCCCCCCUCCCCCACCAGUCCGGCUCAGCAGACGUGCGUAAGGCUUCGGAGGUUUUUUUUCUCCCCCAAAUUAUUAUUCUCCCCCCCACCCUUUUCUUCCCUGGGUAGCAAGAAGCGGGGGGUGGGGCGGGGGGAGCUCGAUGAUUCGGUGAUCGGCCGCCGAGGUCGGGGCGAGGCUGCGGAAUUCCGAGCCGCGGAUUGGACAGGCCGGGGGUGGGGGGAGGACGAGGGAACGCCGCCGGGCCAGGAUUGGGUUAAGCUGGGUCGGCCGCCAUUUUGGAUGCUGAGCCGUCUUGCUGCGGGAAGAUUGAGAGCACACUUCUACUUUUUGUAUUCUUUUUGCAAUCAAGUGAAGAAGUUAGCCUCCAGGGUCACGCCAAGGUCUUGCCUUUGCCUCCCAUGA
RNAcentral lists this long non-coding RNA (733 nucleotides) under Apteryx haastii (Great spotted kiwi). RNAcentral describes it as "lncRNA (ENSAHAG00000003849.1)". Lineage: Eukaryota; Metazoa; Chordata; Aves; Apterygiformes; Apterygidae. The record is from RNAcentral.